This 467-nucleotide ribosomal RNA is filed under the name uncultured bacterium. RNAcentral's name for it is "partial 16S ribosomal RNA". It matches the Rfam family "Bacterial small subunit ribosomal RNA", at positions 28 to 523 of the family's 1533-position model. The record is from RNAcentral.
GAUGAAUGCUGGCGGCGUGCCUAACACAUGCAAGUCGAGCGGUAACAGGAGUAGUUUACUACUUGCUGACGAGCGGCGGACGGCUGAGUAACGCGUGGGAACGUGCCUCAAAGCGAGGGAUAACUGCCCGAAAGGGUGGCUAAUACCGCAUAUGGUCUUCGGAUUAAAGGAUUUAUCCGCUUUGGGAGCGGCCCGCGUGAGAUUAGGUAGUUGGUAGGGUAAUGGCCUACCAAGCCUACGAUCUAUAGCUGGUCUGAGAGGAUGACCAGCCAGACUGGAACUGAGACACGGUCCAGACUCCUACGGGAGGCAGCAGUGAGGAAUCUUCCACAAUGGGCGAAAGCCUGAUGGAGCAACGCCGCGUGAAGGAUGAAGGCCCUCGGGUUGUAAACUUCUUUUAUAAGUGAAGAAUAUGACGGUAACUUAUGAAUAAGCACCGGCUAACUACGUGCCAGCCGCCGCAGUAA